UCUUGAUGGCCUUGGCGAACGUUGCAAGAAGUACUACGAAGCUGGUGCCCGAUUUGCAAAAUGGCGUGCCGUGCUGAAGAUUGGCCCCAACGAGCCUUCUCAGCUGUCAAUCAACGAGAACGCCAAUGGGUUGGCCCGAUAUGCUAUCAUCUGCCAGGAGAAUGGCCUCGUUCCCAUUGUUGAGCCAGAGAUUCUGGUUGAUGGAUCCCAUGACAUUCAAAAGUGUGCUGAUGUGACCGAACGUGUUCUUGCAGCAUGCUACAAGGCCCUUAACGACCACCAUGUCCUGCUUGAAGGAACUCUAUUGAAGCCUAACAUGGUGACUCCAGGAUCUGAUGCAAAAAAGGUUCCACCCGAGAUGAUUGCUGAGUACACUGUCCGUGCCUUGCAGCGCACCAUGCCCGCAGCUGUCCCUGCUGUGGUGUUCCUCUCUGGUGGGCAGAGCGAGGAGGAGGCUACCAUCAACCUCAACGCUAUGAACAAGUUGAAGGCGAAUAAGCCAUGGUCUCUUUCCUUCUCCUUCGGACGUGCCCUUCAGCAAAGCACUCUCAAGGCUUGGUCAGGAAAGGAAGGGAACGUGAAGAAGGCGCAGGAGGCUUUCCUAACCAGGGCCAAGGCCAACUCGGAAGCGACAUUGGGAAACUACAAGGGUGAUGCCAAGCUCGGUGAAGGUGCCGCGGAGAGCCUUCACGUCAAGGACUACAAGUAUUGAUUGAUGAUCGUUCUGGAUUGCUUUAUUCUUUCAGUAGUCUAGGUCUUUUUUUUUGUUGAAACUUUAUUCGUAUAAUCUCGGUCGUGAUGAGAUUAUUACCGGAUACUAGUAGGUUUUGAUAAAAGCUUGAGGAACUAUGGCAAGCAUGGAAGAGUUUUGUUUGUUUCAUCAACUUGGUUUUGGUUUGGAGAAAUUUAAACCUCUUGUUUAUAUUCUGGUUGAUCGAGAAUGUACUUAUUUGAACUUUAGUUUUUGAUUGGGGUGUGCUAUCCACACAUCCCCUUUUACUUCUCACACACCCCUUAUUAAUUUAUGUCCGUUGAUCUUCUUCAAUUCAUCCGAUUCGACGGCCGAAAACUAAAAAGGUGUGAGAGAAGUAAAAAUGGGUGUGUGGAUAUCACACCCCUUUUGAUUUAGUUGCGUAAGCAAAAUCUUCGAUUGGGUUAGUAUUGUUUUAGGCCCAAUACUGUAUUGGGCUUUCACAAUUGUAACAUGUAAAUUGUUUUAGGCCCAAUAUAGUCAUAAGUUUUGGGGUUGAAUACACACACCUCCUAAGGUUUUCGUGUUUUCUCAAAGGGAUGUGAUAUCCACACACCCAUUUUUACUUCUCUCACACCCUUUUAAUUUUCGGCCGUCGGAUCGGAUGAAUUGAAGAAGAUCAAAGGACAUAAAUUAACAAGGGGUGUGGGAGAAGUAAAAAGAGAUGUGUGGAUAGCACACCCCUUCUCAAAAACCCCUCAGGUUUAAAACAUUACGCUAACAUUCUCUGAGAUUUUAGUUCACUUACACAAAACCCCUUCAAGGACAAAUUUACCCUUUUAAUUAAUUAUCCAAUUUUGAAUCUUGUAAUUGUUAUUAUGAUGUUGUAUGUGUAGGAUUUAGAGGUGAGCAAUAGCUAUUUUCUGAUGCUAUUUUGGCGAUUUGGGAGGCCAAUCGUCACAGGUUGCAGUGACUGGUAUCCUUUUUCUAGGCCUCUGUUUCCUCUUGUGCUCUUUGCGCAUCUUAUUUUAGUCCCCUCUGAGACAUCCGACAAAAUUAGAACGAUUAUUUUCAUUGAGAAAAAAGUUUUAAAAUAUGCUCUUUCUUUUUUCUUAUUUUCUUUUUUUAUAUCAAAUAUAAUAUUUGGAGGCAGAACAGAAAAUAAAUAAUGUAUUAGGAAUCAUGUCUGCAUCUAAGCUUUUACCUAUACUGGUAUGCUCACAUGUCAAUUUAGAUUAAAAACCACUUAUCACUUAUCAGCAGAGCGGCCAUAUGGGAUCAAAGAUCGGGAAUUAAUUAAUGGAAAAAUAUAAUAUAUGUGUGUGUGUGUGUGUAUAAAGAAGGAUCGAAGUGAAGAAUAUUCCAAGGCCUAAGCAGCAUCGGUCAUUUUGUUCUCCAAUAUCUGCGUCGGAUCCACGCAUUCCAUGUUCCUGGUUAAAAUAUUUCAACAACUUUUUUUUUGAAGUUUAAAUACUAAGAUAGGUCUAUUCAUACACAUUUUUUUUACUUUUACGUAUAUUUGUUAAUUUUUGUUUAUUGAUCUUCUUAAAUUAUUGAAUUUUACGGCCGAAAAUUAAAAAAGAUGUGUGAGAAGUAAAAAUGAAUGUGUAGAUAACAUUGUCUUAAUUAAAUAUUAUUCAACAAAUUAAAAUUACCCGACAUUGCAGGAACCUCUUCAAAGACCUACUUGGCCAUGGCCAGUUGGCUAAUUGGUUUCAGAAAACAAGAGAAUGAGAGAUGAAAAGAGAGGUAGGUGAAGCCUCCAUAACUUAGUGUUCAACAUCCUAACUACCACUUCUUUUUCUUCUUCUUUCACAAAAGUUUCCAACCUCGACCUGAAUUAUAAUUUGAAUAUCAACUUUUGAAAAAAAAAAAAAAGUAGACGUAAAUUAUAAUUUGAAUAUUUACUUUUGAAAAAAGGAAGUUGACAUUGACGUAGUUACAUUGGCUAAUUAGAGUUUAUGUACUCUCCUCAAUGUACUUAGUUGAAAUUCUCUCUCUACAAUUUAAGAUCAAUUUAAAUAAAACAUGAGUUGUAUUAGAAGUUAUACAAAAGAGUGAUGGCUAUCGAUGUACGACAUCAAAUUGCAAACAUAACACUACUGUGAAUCGUGAUAGAGUCUCACCUUGCACUUAGUAAAUCAACUAAUAAGUACGUAGAAGUUGAAAGGGAGAAUAUUAGAACUUGGAUUUUUUAUUUGUGUAAAAUGGAUACCACGUUGUACAACUCCAAAAGCAUGUCGAACGCUCGAAGUAACCAAGAAUAACUGCGCUUAUGUCAAAAUAAAUGGAAGAAGAGUCAACUGAAUUUUGUUCAUAGGUCUCAUAAGGAGGCGAAGUGUAAACCUAAUGAGACAUUUCGUCAUACCAUAUUCUUUUGCAUGCUUUUAUUUUUAAAUAAUUUGGCACUUUUAAAUACAAAAGAGAAGAUGGGCGUGACAUAAAAGUAAGAAAAUUGUGGCGCAUGAUCCAAAUGAUGCAAUUGAUUUUGGUUAAUAUAUAAAUGCGUUGAAAAUUGAAAGUUUGUUCGAUGAGGCAUAUAUAAUAACAACUCUUGUUUUGACUUAUAAGUAGCAACGAGAAAUGCGGUGGGUGAGGUGACAAGGAACCAACACGAAGCAUAUACGAUUUGACUGUGCAAAUCACACACACGAGGCAUAUACGAUUUGACCGUGCAAAUCACACACACACACAAUUAGUGACGGAGCCAGAAUUUUACAACAAAGGGAUCAUGAUUUCGACCACAAAAAGAAUUCAUGGCACCAUUCUGUCGAGCAUCAAUUGGGCACCUAUCAAAAUCUACCAACAUUCACUGAAAGCUUGUGAUGACAUCUAACAGUAGCCGUUGCGUUCUUCUAGCAUUUGUAUCUGUCAAGGUGUGCCUAACCUAGCAAACUGUCAAGACCUACCUGCCAAGACUUUUUGAGUGAAGCAUUAGGUCGAGCAUGUGGUGCACACCAUUAAGUUGCAUAGAAGAAAAAAGAGAAGGAAGACACGAGGAAAGAAAAUUGGAGAAAGAAGAAGCACAAUCGGUUGUAAUUUAACAUUGUUCAUUCUCUCCUUAAGUAGGGUCUAAAGAUAAAUCUAUCAAUAAGUAUAUAAAGGUUUAGGAAGCUGUUGGGGUCAUGAGCAGCUAUUGACCCCAAAGUGACUCCGCUACUUCACACAAUAAUGUAGAUGCUGCAUUAGAAUAAUUUUACACUAAAAAAAAAAAAAUUCAAUGUCACUUAACACCAUUGAAUUAUGUAUCUAAUUAUUCAAAUGAAGCAUGAGGCCUGAAAUGGACCGGGUGAGAGAGUCAAUAUUAGGCCACUAAAGCAAAAUGUUUAGUGCCGUACUAAAAUAAUGAAUGCUAUUAUAUGAUGUAAUCAGUUUAUGUGUUACAGCAUGAAUGAACGAUUAGUUGAAUUUAAUUUAGAAUGCAUUAUGAAUUAAAAAAAAACACGCUUUAAAAUUUGACUAUAGUUUAUAGUUAGUGACCUUACAGUAUUCUAAAAUCAGUGUAACGUGUGUUUCUCUUCUUAAAUUGGAACCCCUAAAUUCUCUUUGUGUAGUGUAGGUACAAUCGAUCAUAUAAAGGAUAGGAGAGACAUUGAAGGGGUAUUCCAGAGCGUUUGAUGGGUUGUUUAUUGUUACAAAAACAAAGAAAUUUCUUUGGAAAUAACAUUCACGUUGUAAGUUUAUGUAUCCUAAAAGUCAAAACUGCCAACACUAGAGAAGCUAGCUACACACAAUGCCAUUCAUUCAAGGGGUAGUUUUGGCCGCUUUUUCUUUGUAUACUUCAACAAUCAAUUUGUGCAAAAACAAAUUAAAUUUGAUUUGGCAUAAUAAAAAAAGAAGACAUGGAUCUCAAAUAUAGGAGAGAUAAAUACAAUUUGUCUUGAAAUAUAGGCUCUUAAGGGGAUGUGGAGUCACUUAGUACUACGGUUUCGUGGUGUUCAUUUUUAUUUGUAAGUGAGAAAUCUUAGGUUCGAUUCUUAUUAAAGACGAAUUUAAACCACAUUAUUGCUAAUCCAUUGUGAGGCUUAAUCCACUCUCACUCUCUUCGCAUAGAUAAUGUCAUAUGUUAAAAAAAAAAAUAUAUAUGAUGUGACUAUAAUAUCCUGUAACUUUAAAUACAUCAAAAUAAAAAUGAAGUAGAUGAAGGCAGUAAAAAUAUACCAUAUGUUUCUUUAAAUCUCACCCGUUUAUUUCACGUUGUAGAUUUUUCGCCAGAUAUGAAUAUAGGCUGAAAAAAAGAAGAAGACAAGCAUUGUCUUAAAGGCCGGAACCAAGAAUGCCGGUGUUGGUUUUGGGUAUCACAAGUUCACAAAACCAAACCAAAACCAGAGUCGCCGUCAAACCCCACAGGAUUUGGUUGGCUGGUUUUUACCUUUUGACCACCUUCCAACCUACUUAACCUAAUCACGGGACGGCGGCUGGUUUCGUGAAGACCUACCACCGUGCCUAAUUACUUUUUUACCCUCCAAUUAAUUUGGGCUCUAAUUCUUUUUUGGUAAUUAAUUUAGGCUCCAACUUAAAGAAAAUAUAAAUGUGUGUGUAGAAGGUAAAAAUUGUGUGUGGUUACUGGUUAAGGCCUUUGAAAGGCAUGUGCAUAUUUUAACUGUCCCACAUGAAUUUUCUCCUAAUUAGACUAAUUAAUGAAAAUUAAUGUUUAUUAUUUGUUUUGAGAAAAAUAAGGAGUUCUACCCUAAUAUUGUAAAUCUAAGGCAAUGUACCUGAAUUAUUAAUAAUACACAAAAAAGAAAUUGAUAUAUCAAGACUCUAAAGAGUAACGCUAUUGCAAAAUUGUGUUGCAAUAAAAUUAGGUCUAGCAAUAACAACAAGUCUUAUAAGCAAUUGCAAAAUCUACGUGAUAAUUUAUGUUCUUAAUCAUUUAAAGAUAGUGGGAUAUUAAAUCCUAACUAUUUCUAAAUUUCAUUGGAGAUAAUAAAUUAAUGGAGAAAACUUUAUUUAUUUUCAUUUGAACUUUUUUGAAAAAUAAUUAUUUCUUUUUGAAUUGCUAGAGAAUCCAAUCCACCAUAAUGAAUUCGUAUAUUUAUAUAAAAUAGGAAAUAAAUCUAGGUCCAAUUAAUGUCUGGAGGGCAAAAUGGUAAACACAAAAAGAGAAAAUUAAUAAUAAUUUAUUUACGUGGGAAAGAAGCCAAGCAAGUAGAGCAACUUUCGAGCCGGAUUCACAUAAAAAGCCUCACCCACCCUUCACUUUCUUCCAUCUUUCUCUUUAUCUCUCAGAAAGCAACCAACUCGUCUUCUUCUUCCUCUCAAGUCUUCAGAUCAAACAUGUCUGCUUACAGAGGCAAAUACGCUGGUAAUUUACUCAUCCCCUUCACUUUUUUACUCGUUCAUAUCGAUCUGUUUUUGCAUAUCUAUAUAUUUGUCUUGAUUAAUUUCUUAGAUCUGAUUGUUCUUGUGCGUUUUCAAGAUUUGAUGCGUGAACCCAUGUUUUUUUAAGUGUGUUGUGGUUGUUGAGUGAUUGAAUCUUACUUCUGUGGUCAAGAUCCGACGACCAGAUUUGGGUUUCUUCGAUACUGUAUAGAUUUCUUGCAGUAUUCUGGUUUUGGGUUCUCAGAAAAUCAAUCGUUUUUGCUCCUGAAACUAUUUUUUAGUAUAUUUGAUUACUGAAGUUUAGAUCUAAUCUGACAUACCUAGUUAAUAUGCCUUCUGGGUUUUACUUUGUGAAGGUGGAAUAACUGUUGACUUGGAUUUUACUUCAAGGUUAAACUCAAUUUUAUGGAUUUAGAGUUCUCAAAUUUUCAAGUGUGUUUAUUGGGUUUAUGAUUUUUUCAGUCAACUAUUGGUAUGGGAUUCGAUUGACAAUGACAAAGUUGUUUGGUACCAAAUCUAGAUCUUUUGAUCUAAAUUGAAACCCUACAUUUUUAUGUUUGUGAUGAUCUACUUAUUCGUAGUACUUAACCCUUGUGAGUUCCUCCUUUUAUUUGUUUAUUUGUUGUUUUGACCUGAAGUUGUAAUAGUUUUGGAAGCAAUUAACAUGUAGUAAUUGGUUUUUUGAUAUUGUCUUCGGUUGCAUUACCUUGUUGACUAUGAGGGGAAUUUGGACUUGUCCUAACUUUAUUGUUCUGUAUUUUCUCGUUUUUGGUUAUUUAAAGUAGAUGUUUUGAUGUGGGUAUUUAUAUUUUGUGAUUUCUGGUCUAUGUUGGCUGAAUUUUGUAUGCCUUGCAGAUGAGCUUAUCGCCAAUGCUGCCUACAUUGGCACCCCUGGAAAGGGUAUUCUCGCUGCUGAUGAGUCAACUGGCACAAUCGGCAAACGUUUUGCCAGCAUCAAUGUUGAGAAUGUUGAAUCAAACAGGCGUGCUCUUCGUGAGCUCCUCUUCACUGCCCCUGAUGUGCUCCAAUACCUUAGUGGAGUGAUCCUCUUUGAGGAAACCCUCUACCAGAAGACUGCUUCAGGUAUUUUUAUUGAAGGUUCUAGGUUUUGAUACUUUGGCAUUCCACGAUUAUUAGUUCUGUUGUAUUUGGAAUCAAUAUAUUAGGUGCAGUGGUUAUUUUAUUUGAUCAAUAAAUCUGUAGAAUUCGUAUGUUUUUGUAACGUUUUUUGUUUCUUCAAGAGAAGUUUGGGUAAAGCUUUAAAGAGUACUUGUUCUUUUAGUAAUCCUGUUUUGACAAUCCUCUGGUUGCAUGAAUUGUUACCCUUUUCCAAUUUGUGCUCGCUUUGGAUUGUUGUUUUCGCAAAUAAUUUACUCAAAUUUUCCAUGGGAUGGUACUCGUUGUAUUGUAUUCUGCAGGCAAGCCAUUCGUUGACGUCUUGAAGGAAGGUGGUGUUCUCCCUGGUAUUAAGGUCGACAAGGGUACCGUUGAGCUCGCCGGAACCAAUGGUGAGACCACAACCCAGGGUCUUGAUGGCCUUGCCCAGCGCUGCCAGAAGUACUAUGAAGCUGGUGCACGGUUUGCAAAAUGGCGUGGUGCUCAAGAUUGGCCCCAAUGAGCCAUCUCAGCUGUCCAUUCAAGAGAACGCUAAUGGGUUGGCUCGUUAUGCUAUCAUCUGCCAGGAGAAUGGUCUAGUCCCAAUCGUUGAGCCAGAGAUCCUGGUUGAUGGACCCCAUUCCAUCGAUAAGUGUGCUGAUGUGACAGAGCGUGUUCUUGCUGCGUGCUACAAGGCUCUUAAUGACCACCAUGUCCUCCUCGAAGGAACUCUGUUGAAGCCCAACAUGGUCACUCCAGGAUCUGAUGCCAAGAAGGCUUCACCAGAAGUGAUUGCCGAGUAUACAGUUCGUGCCUUGUUGCGCACUACCCCUGCAGCUGUCCCUGCUGUUGUGUUCUUGUCCGGUGGACAGAGUGAGGAGGAGGCUACCCUCAACCUUAACGCCAUGAACCAACUCAAGGGAAAGAAGCCAUGGUCUCUAUCCUUCUCCUUCGGACGUGCUCUUCAGCAAAGCACACUGAAGGCAUGGGCAGGGAAAGAGGAAAACAUCCCAAAGGCACAGGCUGCUCUCCUCACAAGGGCCAA
Molecule: long non-coding RNA, 8156 nt
Filed under: Malus domestica (apple)
Lineage: Eukaryota; Viridiplantae; Streptophyta; Magnoliopsida; Rosales; Rosaceae
Description: long non-coding RNA (MDOM_LNC013629)
Source: RNAcentral